CAUAUAUUUGUGUAAAGUUCAAAAGGGGCCACACUGAUGUCUGGGGAAGAUUCAUCACAGCCACACAAGUACAAAUGAUUAAGAUCCGGUCCCGUGCCGAUGGUAGUGUUAAGUGACAAGUACUAUGCUGUCGUAUGUAUGCCAGUCCAAAAUUAACAUAAAUGAAUGAGGUGGAAGUCAAUAGUGAAUCAAAAUGGCCUGGUUACAAACUUUGUUCAAAAUAUCUUCAUUUGUGUUUGGCACAACAAAGAAAUUCAUACAGAUUUGAACUACUCAAGGUUCAGAAAGACGGCGCCGCCGGCGAAAGUUAAUGCAGAAUUGAUACAGCAGCCCGCUGUCAAAGAAGUGGUGCUUCAGAGAGACUGCAGAGUGAAAUGAAGAGUGGACUGUUUCAGCAAGGCAAAGCAUGAAGAGCG
Puntigrus tetrazona (Sumatra barb) is the source of this 416-nucleotide long non-coding RNA. RefSeq lists it as uncharacterized. The record is from RefSeq and is a predicted model, not a curated record. The transcript is spliced from 4 exons. Lineage: Eukaryota; Metazoa; Chordata; Actinopteri; Cypriniformes; Cyprinidae.